AUCCGGGGUUCAAAGAAGCCGCUUGCCCUCCACGUUCCCUCCAUUCAAUCGCGCGCCCCUAUCUCAACGCAGUCGCUGAAUAUAGGUACGUUUUCCUUCGACAUUCUUCAUAGAUAGCGCGCCGUUGGCUUACUAUUCGUCCGACUUCCACCAGAUCUAGGGCUCCUUCUCUUUGCCGAUCGGUUAACUGACUGGUUCCUGGGAGAUUAGGGGAUUGCUCACUCUGUUGUUCUUUAAUUUUCCCGGCAAGUAUAAGGAUUAAUCUCCGAUUUUAUGUUUUUUGUUCGACCUAACAACUAUCAGGACAGUAUUGGCGAAACUUAGUCUUCUCUGUAAACGAGCGGGUUGUUUCUUGUUGGGAUUGGGUGUUUGAACGUCAAUAUCCUGCCAUUGAGAUUUUAUAUACUUCUUGACCUGUUCGGGUUCAGUUGUUUUGUUGUAUUUGAGUGCCGUGGCGUAAAUUUUGAUGUUGUGGAAGCGUUGGUGGGUUGAUUUGAUUUAGUUUUUUUUUUGGAUUGGAGGUUUGAUAUUUGCAAACCUGAUAAUCGGGGGGAGUUAGGUUCGAUGGCUGAUCGUAACUUGGUGGUCGCAAAACCAAUCUGGAUGAAGCAGGCUGAAGAGGCGAAACUGAAGAGCGAGGCUGAAAAAGAUGCAGCGGCCAAAGCUGCUUUCGAAGCUACUUUUAAAGGCGUAGAUAAGAAUCCUGCAAGAGAAGCAGCAUCCUCAGAUAGUGAUUUUGAAGAUGCUGAGGACUUGGAACACAAACCCAUUGGGCCUGUAGACCCUGCUAGAUGCACAGCAGCUGGAGCCGGCAUAGCUGGGGGCACAGCAUGUGUGCCAGCUUCCUUUACUGUGGUAACUAAGGAUGUUGAUGGGAGGAAAGUUCCCCAUGGUGGUGCACAGAUUAAAGUAAAGGUGUUACCUGGGGUAGGUGUUGGUGGAACUGAGCAAGAUGGCAUUGUGAAGGAUAUGAAUGAUGGUACAUAUACGAUCACAUAUGUGGUGCCAAAAAGAGGCAAUUAUAUGGUUAAUAUUGAGUGUAACGGAAGAUCAAUCAUGGGUAGUCCAUUCCCUGUGUUCUUUAGUGCAGGGACAAGUGCUGGUGGACUCCUGGGUUUAGCUCCUGCAUCGUCAUUUCCAAAUUUGGUUAAUCAAAAUAUGCCCAACAUGCCUAAUUACUCAGGGUCUGUUUCGGGGGCAUUUCCUGGGUUGAUGGGAAUGAUUCCAGGCAUUGUAGCUGGUGCUUCUGGUGGUGCUAUCUUGCCUGGAAUUGGAGCCUCUCUUGGCGAAGUAUGUCGAGAAUACCUUAAUGGUCAAUGUGCAAAAACAGAUUGUAAGUUAAAUCAUCCACCUCACAAUUUGCUCAUGACUGCUAUAGCUGCGACAACCAGCAUGGGAACUAUCAGUCAAGUGCCUAUGGCACCUUCUGCUGCUGCUAUGGCAGCUGCUCAGGCUAUUGUUGCUGCUCAAGCCCUUCAAGCUCAUGCUGCUCAAGUGCAAGCUCAACAAGCCCAGUCUGCAAAAGACUCUUCUGGUUCAUCCGACAAAUCUGGGAAGGCUGCUGAUGCUCUGAAGAGAACGCUUCAAGUUAGCAAUCUUAGCCCACUUCUCACCGUGGAACAGCUGAAGCAACUUUUUAGUUUCUGUGGAACUGUUGUUGAGUGUACCAUUACUGAUUCAAAACAUUUUGCUUACAUAGAAUACUCAAAGCCUGAAGAAGCUACUGCUGCUUUGGCCUUGAACAAUAUGGAUGUUGGAGGUCGGCCUUUAAAUGUAGAGAUGGCAAAGUCACUUCCACAGAAACCAGCUGCAGCAAACCCUUCACUUGCUUCUUCUUCUCUGCCGAUGAUGAUGCAGCAAGCUGUAGCCAUGCAACAAAUGCAAUUCCAGCAGGCUUUGUUGAUGCAGCAAACUAUGACAGCUCAGCAGGCUGCUAAUCGUGCAGCAACUAUGAAGUCCGCAACAGAGUUGGCAGCAGCUAGAGCCGCAGAAAUAAGCAAAAAACUUAAAGUUGAUGGAAUUGUGACUGAAGAAACUGAGACAAAAGAAAAAUCAAGGUCACCUUCCUUGUCCAGGGAGAGAUCAAAAUCAAAAUCAAAAUCACCUAUCAAGUACCGUAGCAGGCGGAGAUCUCCAACUUAUUCACCUCCUUAUCGUCACUCAAGAGAUCAUAGAUCUAGAUCACCAGUGAGAUCUCGUCAUUAUUCUAGGUAUGAAGAUCAUAGGAGGGCUUAUAGAGAAGUGAGAGAUGCUAGUGAAAGAUCUAGAAGGCGAGAUCUAGAUAGAUCAAGAAGUCGUCGUUCACCCGUCUCAAGGAAAAAUAGAAGUAGAAGCAUAAGUCCUCGCAGAAGAAAAUCAUAUAGAGAAGAUUCUGAUUCUCCCAAUCACCAGCGGGAACGUUCACCACAAAGAGGUAGGAAAUCAGAUCGUUCUGAUUUAAGAUCACCUAGUCGCCAUCAUGGGAAAAGCAGAUCAUCCCCAAGAAAGGAUGAUGGUGACACACUAAAACAUAGAAGACGAUCAAGGUCUAAAUCUCUUGAGACUAAACAUCAUUCUGAUGAAAAAAUUAAUGAUAUGCGACAUGGAAAAUCAAAAACUCGGGAUAGAAGGCGGUCAAGAUCUGCUUCACUGGAAGACAAGCAUAGCAAAAGAAGAUCACCACCUAGAAGCAUGGACAAGAACAUUUCUAAACAUAGAAGGCGGUCUAGAUCAAACUCUAGGGAGGAUAUAGAUGAUACUUCAUCAAAAUAUCAUGGUAGAAGGCGAUCUCGGUCAAGUUCUUCAGAAAGUAAACAUCUCCUUGAUAGUAAUAAGGUGGAAAGCACUAGAGAUGAAAAACUAAAACAUCGUAACAGAAGGAGAUCCAGGUCAAAAUCUGUGGAUGGUAAGCACCACAGGAAGGAGAAAUCAGAUAGAAGCAGAGAUAAAAAGUUGAGGCAUCAUGAUAGAACGCCAUCUAGAUCUGUAUCUCCUGAGGCUGGGCAUCAAAGAGGGACCAGGCUGUCUCCUACCAGUUCUGAUGAAAAUAAAUCAAAACGUAGAAGGAGAUCACUCUCUCCUGAAGAUAAGCCUCAUGUUCAUGUUACUGAUAUAGAUAAUGGAUGCAUAGCUGAACAUUCAAAGCAUCACGAAAGACAGCGGUCUAGGUCAAUGUCAGGAGAAAAUGGAGAAAGUAAUUUAUCUCCAAGUACAGAGGUAAAUGAAUUUAAACAUGGAGAGCAGUCAACAAUAGAACAUGCUGGAGGGCAUGAAGCUAGUCUCUCAAAGUUUAUAGACGAUAUGCCAGGAGAUGAUCAGGAUAGAAAGGGGUUAAAUUCCCAAUAUUCUAAUGUUGAGGAACGAAGCAAAAUGGAAACAAUUGACGAUGAGCAAAGUUGAUUUAGCUGGAAGUUAGAGUUUAAUGGAGGUUGUAAUAUUUCACGUUCUCCUUGGCUGAUGCUGACCGUAGAUGCUCGAUGUCACCUUUAUACAAUUGCAAUUUCUGGUGAAUGACGUUGAGGAGAUUAAGUUGCAUUUAAAAUUUGAUAUGGAAAUGCUUUACUGUGACUCGUGAAUUACUAGAAUAGCUGACUAUUUCGGACUUGAGUACCUUGAUAACCAGGGUCAAAUUUCAUGCUCAGCAAUUUCAGCCUGGCUUGUUGACGUAUUCAAGGGCAUCAUUGCUUCAUUUGAGGAAGAGGCUACCUACAUGAUUGAAGAUUUGUUUCCAUUUCUUUGGGUUCUCAGAUUUUCAGUUUUCAUCCAUGUCUCUUGUCUUUGAUUAUCUUUUGCAGGUUAGCAGAGUCUCUUUCAGUUGAUGUUGGUAUUGCUGUCCUUUUGUCUACGAGACAAGACACCCAGUAUCUGUAGCCAGCUUCUUUUACUACUUGAUGUAUGUUUAACUAUGACCUUCCUUUACGUGGUGAAUUUUCGAUAGCACUGUCUAUUUGAACAAGGAUUGCUGCAUUAGGAAUUGAAGUUAUACGGUGUGAAUGUCAUUCGAAGUUUGUUGGGGUUGAUUUUCUCUUGUUUACACGAAGGCAAAGCUACUGUUAAAGGUCGGUUGAAACCAGAUGUUGCUGGGAUAAAUUGCAUCAAAAUUUCGUCCUUCUGGGUAUGACCAGAAUUGGCUGACUCACUUGGAAGCGUUUUUAUUCGCGGUGAAUUGCGAAUAUAUAUAUGGCAGGUAACGUUGUCUGUAACUGCUUGGUUGAAGAUAAUUAUAGGGAAAUCUAUAGGUUUGGAUUCUCUAAUAUAUAUAAGGAGCUAGAAAGUGCAUGUUGGACAAUGAGUCUAUGAUGAUGAUACUCGAUGCAUGUGGCUACAGGUUUUCUUUUCUUUGAAUGAUAAACUUCUUUUUGUAGCA
Molecule: RNA transcript, 4345 nt
Organism: Cucurbita maxima (winter squash)
Lineage: Eukaryota; Viridiplantae; Streptophyta; Magnoliopsida; Cucurbitales; Cucurbitaceae
Exons: 8
Source: RefSeq, a predicted model, not a curated record